Molecule: long non-coding RNA, 745 nt
Organism: Nematostella vectensis (starlet sea anemone)
Lineage: Eukaryota; Metazoa; Cnidaria; Anthozoa; Actiniaria; Edwardsiidae
Exons: 2
Source: RefSeq, a predicted model, not a curated record
AUCCUUGUACCACACUGAAUCGGCUCAGUUUCGUCGGAACUAUUGUCGAGGAGAGAGUUACUUCCUUCAGAAUUAUCGGGGUUCAGUAGAGUUUCUUCAAAUAGACUGUCUGAAGAUUGAGGCAUGUUGCAAAGCCAGCAGUUCCAGAGUGUCGUAUUGUACCUGUAGCUAGCCAGCUCUCUUCGGUUCAUUCCAAUGCACUUGAAAUCCCUUAGCACAGGUUGAGCAUUCGACGCCGCUUUGUUUUCGUUUCAUCACUUUGCUACAGGCGAAGCAAAUAGAUUUUGUCGUCUUUGAACUGGAGCCACAAAGGUUUCUUUUAGGACCAGGGUUACGUUAUAGGUCGCCAGCGAGAUACAGUAGACCAAGAGCCGUGCUAGAGCGUUUGAAUAGCUCUAAGGCCAAAGGGAUAGACGCAUACGAUGCCUACUCCGGGUCCUAAGAUCGUCUAAGAUCGCCCAAGAUCGCCCAAGAUCGCCCAAGAUCGCCCAAAAUCGCUCAAGAUUUUCCAUUAUUCAUUGAAUUAUUUUGGGGUAUUUAGCCCAAGAUUGACCAAAAUAACCGGAGAAUGCCUAAGAUCACCAUUAUUCACUCAUUAUCUUUUAAGGAUAUUGAUUUACUUCACAGGUAUAACCAUAAAAACAUAAAUAUUAUUAAUAUUAAAUAUUACUUAUUUUUUUGGUUUUAAGCUGAACUGUAUGUUGGAAAUGAAAAGUUGAACAAUAAAACAAGAGGACCGAUUGUA